GGAUGCGAUCAUACCAGCACUAAAGCACCGGAUCCCAUCAGAACUUCGAAGUUAAGCGUGCUU
This is a non-coding RNA of Triticum aestivum (bread wheat), 63 nucleotides long. NCBI's taxonomy places the organism in Eukaryota, Viridiplantae, Streptophyta, Magnoliopsida, Poales, Poaceae. The record is from Rfam.